UUGUCAACCGGGGUAGUUUCUUGUAGGCAGACAGUUGGUUCUCAUAUCUGCUUGGCUAUCCUUUGCUGCCAUGUUAGCAUUGGAGGCUGCAUCCUAGAAGGUAUGGAUACUGUAGUUCUGUUUGAUUGAUUGACUCGUUUUCUCUNGAUUAUACAAGAUUAGUUUAAUGUAUUACCAUUCUACCUUUUUUUUUUGGGGGGGGGGGCGGUUAAUUAGAGUUUCAAAUACUCAACCUGUUUACUUGUUAAUGUUCCACUAACCUAUUUUACUUAAAUGGGAUCGACCAUUAAGAAAUGAAUAACCUUAGUGAAUAAGAAUACGUACUAAAUACUGUUAGAUCAUACAAGAUUAGUUUAAUGUAUUACCAUUCUGGAUGCCUUGGUUUGGAUGGAUGGGUGGCGGCUAUAGUUAUAUGUGCUGAGAUGUUCAGAUGGCAUAGCCACAUUUCUUUUUACAUAUGUGUCUUCUCAAAAUAAAUGAAAUAUAAUCUGUAUGUUAUAUUGCUAUUGAGUUUUAUGACCUUUUCAUAAGCCAUGCCAUAUAUUUUUCGUGCGGAUGCCCAUGCCAUAUAUGUUUUCAUGCGGAUGGUCAUGCCAUAUAUGUUUUCAUGCGGAUGGUUUCCAAGAUAGAACAUGCAAUACGUUGAAAUAUUUGUGCUUACAACCUUGUAACAAUAAGAUGUACCUAGAAUUGGUUAUCUUACAUUUGAACAUGUAAUUCCUUGUAAAAAAGAAUACAAAGAAAAAAUGAUGCUUUUUUCCCAUGUCAUGCUCUGAAUUCUCGAUGAUCUACUUCUUAGAUGGUAAAAUGAGAAUCGUGUUUCAACCAGAAAAACAAAAGUUGCGUGAAAUACAUAAAUUGAACGGAUGAGAUUUUGCCUGAUAUGACAACAAUUAUCCCUUUUUUCCCAUGUCAUGCUCUGAAUUACCGAUGAUCUACUUUUCAGAUGGUAAAAUGACAACCAUGUUUCAACCAGGAAAACAGGAGUUGUGUGAAAUACAUACAUAAAUUGAAUGGAUGAGAUUCUGCCUGAUAUGACAACGAUUGUCUUGGAAUCACUUUUACGUGGACAGCUAACAACUAUGGUGAGACGAGUGUGGAUCACAAGCAAAGUUUGAUUCAAAAAACAAAAACAGAAAAACAUUGAACAUCGGUGUUAAUAUUUUUUGAGAAGGUAUUUCUGUAUUCUUGUAGUAUACUUCCUCUGUCCAAUAAUAAUAUAUUGUUGAAAAUAUUUUAUAUUAUGGGACGGAGCGACAUCAAAGAAAUGAGCGUUUGGAUGCAAAAAAGGAAGUUCCGAAGUACAAAUUGGCUACACAGAAGCGCUGCCAACACGUCCGUACGGCUGUGAAUACCUGGUUUAUGAGCCGUUCAUUUACUGGAUCGGACAGCUGCUACUCAUUCGUCUGUGUAUACUUUUCUAGGGUUAAGCAGCACUCCACAAGAUGAGCAUAUACGUGCACAAGCACAUUCAUGUAGGUGGUGCCAUAGAAAAUUACUACGAUAUUCUAGCACCAGGUUGCUUCUAGUAUUUUGUAGCCCGCCAAUAGUGGUGAAUUAUUUCUUGCUCUCGCAAGCUGCGGCAGAUCUAGUCCCUCCAGGCUCUAUUUUGUAGCCCAUAUAGACCAGCCCAUGGGCUCUUCUCCCUUCUGCUUGUUCGGUUUUGUGUUGAGGAAUCUCAGUUCCUUUGCUAUGACUAGCACUUUAAGUUAGUUUUUUUGUAGUGGCGCUUAGAUGAAAGUCAGUGUCUCACAUUCGAGCUGAUCUUUUGGGCUUUGAUCUUUCUUGAGUUUGUCCAUGCAUGAAUUGGGCAGAGCUUCAAUGUAGAUUAUUGUCAUCGCAAGAGGCGACAAAUACAAGCAUUGGAGUGAGCACGUCACCUUGUCAUCGCCCUCCCUUACAGAGCUGAGCAAACCUUGUUUUAUUAGAGAUCUGCUUGUUCUAAGGCCCAAUGAACCAGUGCACCAGAAUAACAACUGGCAUCGAUGAAGAAAAAUGUAGAUCGGAAUGAUCAAAUAUGUAGACACAUAACCGAAGGUGAAC
RNAcentral lists this long non-coding RNA (2043 nucleotides) under Hordeum vulgare. RNAcentral describes it as "long non-coding RNA (HVUL_LNC007620)". Lineage: Eukaryota; Viridiplantae; Streptophyta; Magnoliopsida; Poales; Poaceae. The record is from RNAcentral.